AGCAGCGGCAGCAGCGCUCACUCGUACGAGGUGUGUGCUCCUUCCGCUCCGGCGGAUGACGGCGACGAGGAAGCCUCGGCGAUGGGGCUGGACCUCCAUCUCAGUCUAGCUCCGGCGAGCUCGGCGUGAUCUGAUCGACUCGGUAGCAAGUCCGGCGCCUCGCCGACGACGACGAAUUAACAUGUAUUGUUCUCGUGUGUAUCCCUUCAUUAAUUUUCUUCCCAUUUUUUUAGGGCAAACCCUGUUAUAUUUUCGUUAAUUGUUCGCAGCACAUCUCGCAACAAACGCAAGGUUGAGAGAUAAAUAUAUACGAUCGAGCUUGGCCAAUCAUCAAGCUAAAUACUCUUAUAUUUGUAUACUUAUACAGUUGCCUCCACUGCGUUUGGUGUAACUAUAGUUAAUUCCCUCUUUUCUUACAAAGCCAUGGCAUCUUAAUACAUAGAACUGCUAACAUAAACUUUGGAUAGAUUUCUUCAAGAUUCCCA
Molecule: long non-coding RNA, 485 nt
Filed under: Oryza brachyantha (malo sina)
Lineage: Eukaryota; Viridiplantae; Streptophyta; Magnoliopsida; Poales; Poaceae
Description: long non-coding RNA (OBRA_LNC000147)
Source: RNAcentral